This 209-nucleotide unclassified non-coding RNA is filed under the name soil metagenome. RNAcentral's name for it is "partial contains 5.8S ribosomal RNA, internal transcribed spacer 2, and large subunit ribosomal RNA". The record is from RNAcentral.
AACCUAGCACACCUGCGGUGUGUACCUGCGGAGGGAUCAUUACCGAGUUUACAACUCCCAAACCCCUGUGAACAUACCACUUGUUGCCUCGGCGGAUCAGCCCGCUCCCGGUAAAACGGGACGGCCCGCCAGAGGACCCCUAAACUCUGUUUCUAUAUGUAACUUCUGAGUAAAACCAUAAAUAAAUCAAAACUUUCAGCAACGGAUCU